UGUGGGAGCGGGCUUGCUCGCGAUUGAAUCGACGCGGUGAUCCAGACCAACCGUGUCGUCUGCAUCGCGAGCAAGCCCGCUCCCACA
Molecule: non-coding RNA, 87 nt
Filed under: Pseudomonas fragi
Lineage: Bacteria; Pseudomonadati; Pseudomonadota; Gammaproteobacteria; Pseudomonadales; Pseudomonadaceae
Source: RNAcentral